This 461-nucleotide ribosomal RNA is filed under the name uncultured bacterium. Its description in RNAcentral is "partial 16S ribosomal RNA". It matches the Rfam family "Bacterial small subunit ribosomal RNA", at positions 338 to 795 of the family's 1533-position model. The record is from RNAcentral.
CCUACGGGAGGCAGCAGUGAGGAAUAUUGGUCAAUGGGCGCGAGCCUGAACCAGCCAAGUAGCGUGAAGGAUGAAGGUUCUAUGGAUCGUAAACCUCUUUUAUAAGGGAAUAAAGUGCGGGACGUGUCCCGUUUUGUAUGUACCUUAUGAAUAAGGAUCGGCUAACUCCGUGCCAGCAGCCGCGGUAAUACGGGGGAUGCAAGCGUUAUCCGGAUUUAUUGGGUUUAAAGGGUGCGUAGGCUGUGAGGUAAGUCAGCGGUGAAAUGCCCCCGCUCAACGGGGUGAAGUGCCAUUGAUACUGCCUGGCUGGAAUGCGGAUGCCGUGGGAGGAAUGUGUGGUGUAGCGGUGAAAUGCAUAGAUAUCACACAGAACACCGAUUGCGAAGGCAUCUCACGAAUCCGCGAUUGACGCUGAUGCACGAAAGCGUGGGUAUCAAACAGGAUUAGAUACCCUUGUAGUC